CAGUAGCCGCGGUAAUACGUAGGGUGCGAGCGUUAAUCGGAAUUACUGGGCGUAAAGCGUGCGCAGGUGGUGGUUUAAGUCCGUUGUGAAAGCCCUGGGCUCAACCUGGGAAUUGCAGUGGAUACUGGAUCACUAGAGUGUGGUAGAGGAUAGUGGAAUCUCCGGUGUAGCAGUGAAAUGCGUAGAGAUCGGAAGGAACAUCUGUGGCGAAGGCGACUAUCUGGGCCAACACUGACACUGAGGCACGAAAGCGUGGGGAGCAAACAGGAUUAGAUACCCCGGUAGUCCCUGUCUCUUAUAC
This 301-nucleotide ribosomal RNA is filed under the name uncultured bacterium. Its description in RNAcentral is "partial 16S ribosomal RNA". It matches the Rfam family "Bacterial small subunit ribosomal RNA", at positions 509 to 807 of the family's 1533-position model. The record is from RNAcentral.